Molecule: long non-coding RNA, 736 nt
Organism: Dermacentor silvarum
Lineage: Eukaryota; Metazoa; Arthropoda; Arachnida; Ixodida; Ixodidae
Exons: 6
Source: RefSeq, a predicted model, not a curated record
AGCUACGCGGCCUGUUCUACGGCAAGUCGAUCUGGGUGGAGAACUGCGACUGCUACUGGAAUGAACGUUGCCAACUGGUCUACUGUUCCCACGACCGCUGGCAGCUGAACCGCAAGGGCUGCCCCCUCCGACUGGAAGCCACAUGCUGGUGUACGAGGAGUUGGAACCUCGAGUCGGUCUCCCGUGUCAGUCUCGGCGCCACCAGACGUGCUCCUACUCAGCCCAUCCAGGAGGAGUGCGUGGAGUUGCGUUCUCGAGCCGUCGUCCGUGUGAGUCCCGGUGCCACCAGACGUCCUCCUAGCCAGCAGAGCUACGCGGCCUGUUGUACGGCAAGCUGAUCUGAGUGGAGAACUGCGACUGCUACUGGAAUGGACGUCGCCAGCUGAACCGCAAGGGCUGCGCCCUCCGACUGGAAGCCACAUGCGGGUGUACGAGGAGUUGGAACCUCGAGUCGGUCUCCCGUGUCAGUCUCGGCGCCACCAGACGUGCUCCUACUCAGCCCAUCCAGACGUGACACUCCUCUGCCGCUGACAAGAUCGAGCCACAACUAGGCACCCAAGCACGACCAAGAAGGCUGCCCGGCACAUAUUGGACUCAUUCGUGAAAUCAGGUCCGGCCCCAGCGAGCACGAAUGUGCACGGAGGGCUUUCAACUUCCAAAAGUUCGCCAUGAGUUUGCCUCGGGGGCCCCAUAACCACCGGAAUUCUCACUGACGUUAAUAAAGCAGUGAAACAUA